RNAcentral lists this transfer RNA (77 nucleotides) under Bryobacterales bacterium. Its description in RNAcentral is "tRNA-Val". It matches the Rfam family "tRNA". Rfam says of the family: Transfer RNA (tRNA) molecules are approximately 80 nucleotides in length. Their secondary structure includes four short double-helical elements and three loops (D, anti-codon, and T loops). RNAcentral also lists the same sequence under 3 other names. Lineage: Bacteria; Pseudomonadati; Acidobacteriota; Terriglobia; Bryobacterales. The record is from RNAcentral.
GGGCGGUUAGCUCAGCCGGUUAGAGCGCCUGCCUUACAAGCAGGAGGUCGAUGGUUCGAUCCCGUCACCGCCCACCA